GACGAACGCUGGCGGCGUGCUUAACACAUGCAAGUCGAACGGAAAGGCCCUGCUUUUGUGGGGUGCUCGAGUGGCGAACGGGUGAGUAACACGUGAGUAACCUGCCCUUGACUUUGGGAUAACUUCAGGAAACUGGGGCUAAUACCGGAUAGGAGCUCCUGCUGCAUGGUGGGGGUUGGAAAGUUUCGGCGGUUGGGGAUGGACUCGCGGCUUAUCAGCUUGUUGGUGGGGUAGUGGCUUACCAAGGCUUUGACGGGUAGCCGGCCUGAGAGGGUGACCGGCCACAUUGGGACUGAGAGACGGCGCAGACUCCUACGGGAGGCAGCAGUGGGGAAUAUUGCACAAUGGGCGGAAGCCUGAUGCAGCAACGCCGCGUGCGGGAUGACGGCCUUCGGGUUGUAAACCGCCUUCGCCUGUGACGAAGCGUGAGUGACGGUAAUGGGUAAAGAAGCACCGGCUAACUACGUG
Molecule: ribosomal RNA, 468 nt
Filed under: uncultured bacterium
Lineage: Bacteria
Description: partial 16S ribosomal RNA
Rfam family: Bacterial small subunit ribosomal RNA
Source: RNAcentral